CGGCGGACGGGUGAGUAACGCGUGGACAACCUGCCCUAUGCAGGGGGAUAACAUCCGGAAACGGGUGCUAAUACCGCAUAAGCGCACAGUACCGCAUGGUACGGUGUGAAAAGCUGAGGCGGCAUAGGAUGGGUCCGCGUUGGAUUAGGCAGUUGGCGGGGUAACGGCCCACCAAACCAACGAUCCAUAGCCGGCCUGAGAGGGUGGACGGCCACAUUGGGACUGAGACACGGCCCAGACUCCUACGGGAGGCAGCAG
Molecule: ribosomal RNA, 258 nt
Filed under: uncultured bacterium
Lineage: Bacteria
Description: partial 16S ribosomal RNA
Rfam family: Bacterial small subunit ribosomal RNA
Source: RNAcentral